RNAcentral lists this unclassified non-coding RNA (625 nucleotides) under Hevea brasiliensis (rubber tree). Lineage: Eukaryota; Viridiplantae; Streptophyta; Magnoliopsida; Malpighiales; Euphorbiaceae. The record is from RNAcentral.
UCAGUAGCAGAGAAAACAGUGUAAACAAGAACAAAAGUACCGAUGAUUUCAGCGCCUAAUCCAGUUCCUUUGUUAUACCCAUUACUGAGCAUAUUAGCACCGCCGUUGUAUCUAACAUAAUAAGCAGAUUGGAAGGCUCUAACCAAGCCACAGCCGCAAAUAGCACCGGCGCACUGAGCAAUGAUGUACAACAGAGCACGAACCAGAGAGACUUUGCGAGCUAAGAAGAGGCCGAAAGUGACGGCGGGGUUAAUGUGGCCACCGGAGAUACCAGCGGUGCAGUAAACAAGGAUGAAAAUCAUACCGCCGAAGGCCCAAGCGAUACCGAGGAUGCCAACGCCGUUACAGGGGUCGGUGGAAACGGAAGGGUCGCUUUGGUGGGAGUAACCGAUGACGGUCAAAACGGUGACAUAGAGGAAGAGGAGAGUGGCGAUGAACUCGGCGAUGGCGGCUCUGUAAAGAGACCAUUUGGUUAGUUCUUCAGGGUCGAUGAGAGGAGCGGGAGGUGGGUCUUGGUAGUCUUUGCUUUGGAAUUCGCCUUGCUCUGCAACUUCAACGUCUUUCCCCAUUUUUGUGUUUUGUUUUUGGGUUAGGAGUUUUUGGGAAGAGAAAUGAAGUGAAAAAG